GGUAGUUGAAAUGGCUUUCCCUCCAGAGUGGAUCCUGAGUACGGCGGAACACGUGAAAUUCCGUCGGAAUCCGGGAGGACCAUCUCCCAAGGCUAAAUACUCCCUAGUGACCGAUAGUGAACCAGUACCGUGAGGGAAAGGUGAAAAGCACCCCGGAAGGGGAGUGAAACAGUUCCUGAAACCGUGUGCCUACAAGUAGUUAGAGCCCGUUAAUGGGUGAUAGCGUGCCUUUUGUAGAAUGAACCGGCGAGUUACGAUUUGUUGCAAGGUUAAGCGGAAAAAGCGGAGCCGUAGCGAAAGCGAGUCUGAAUAGGGCGCAUAAGUAACAGGUCGUAGACCCGAAACCAGGUGAUCUACCCAUGUCCAGGAUGAAGGUAAGGUAAUACUUACUGGAGGUCCGAACCCACGCACGUUGAAAAGUGCGGGGAUGAGGUGUGGGUAGCGGAGAAAUUCCAAUCGAACUUGGAGAUAGCUGGUUCUCUCCGAAAUAGCUUUAGGGCUAGCCUCGAGGUAAAGAGUCAUGGAGGUAGAGCACUGUUUGGACUAGGGGCCCUUCUCGGGUUACCGAAUUCAGAUAAACUCCGAAUGCCAUGUACUUAUACUCGGGAGUCAGACUGCGAGUGAUAAGAUCCGUAGUCGAAAGGGAAACAGCCCAGACCACCAGUUAAGGUCCCCAAAUAUAUGUUAAGUGGAAAAGGAUGUGGGGUUGCUUAGACAACCAGGAUGUUGGCUUAGAAGCAGCCACCAUUGAAAGAGUGCGUAAUAGCUCACUGGUCGAGUGACCCCGCGCCGAAAAUGUACCGGGGCUAAACAUAUUACCGAAACUGUGGAUGAACCUCUUUAGAGGUUCGUGGUAGGAGAGCGUUCUAAGGGCGGUGAAGUCAGACCGGAAGGACUGGUGGAGCGCUUAGAAGUGAGAAUGCCGGUAUGAGUAGCGAAAGAAGGGUGAGAAUCCCUUCCACCGAAUAUCUAAGGUUUCCUGAGGAAGGCUCGUCCGCUCAGGGUUAGUCGGGACCUAAGCCGAGGCCGAUAGGCGUAGGCGAUGGACAACAGGUAGAGAUUCCUGUACCAGUGCUAAUUGUUUAACCGAUGGGGUGACACAGAAGGAUAGGGAAUCGCACGAAUGGAAAUGUGCGUCCAAGCAGUGAGUGUGAGAAGUAGGCAAAUCCGCUUCUCGCGAAGCAUGAGCUGUGAUGGGGAAGGAAAUUAAGUACGGAAGUUCCUGAUUUCACGCUGUCAAGAAAAGCCUCUAGGAAGAGUAGUACUGCCCGUACCGCAAACCGACACAGGUAGAUGAGGAGAGAAUCCUAAGGUGAGCGAGAGAACUCUCGUUAAGGAACUCGGCAAAAUGACCCCGUAACUUCGGGAGAAGGGGUGCUCUAUUAGGGUGCAAGCCCGAGAGAGCCGCAGUGAAUAGGCCCAGGCGACUGUUUAGCAAAAACACAGGUCUCUGCAAAACCGUAAGGUGACGUAUAGGGGCUGACGCCUGCCCGGUGCUGGAAGGUUAAGAGGAGUGCUUAGCUUCGGCGAAGGUACGAAUUGAAGCCCCAGUAAACGGCGGCCGUAACUAUAACGGUCCUAAGGUAGCGAAAUUCCUUGUCGGGUAAGUUCCGACCCGCACGAAAGGCGCAACGAUCUGGGCACUGUCUCAACGAGAGACUCGGUGAAAUUAUAGUACCUGUGAAGAUGCAGGUUACCCGCGACAGGACGGAAAGACCCCGUGGAGCUUUACUGCAACCUGAUAUGGAAUGUUUGUACCGCUUGUACAGGAUAGGUAGGAGCCGAAGAGACGUGUGCGCUAGCAUACGAGGAGGCAAUGGUGGGAUACUACCCUGGCUGUAUGACCAUUCUAACCCGCCACGCUUAGCGCGUGGGGAGACAGUGUCAGGUGGGCAGUUUGACUGGGGCGGUCGCCUCCUAAAGAGUAACGGAGGCGCCCAAAGGUUCCCUCAGAAUGGAUGGAAAUCAUUCGCAGAGUGUAAAGGCACAAGGGAGCUUGACUG
This 2003-nucleotide ribosomal RNA is filed under the name Listeria monocytogenes. RNAcentral describes it as "partial 23S ribosomal RNA". It matches the Rfam family "Bacterial large subunit ribosomal RNA", at positions 374 to 2375 of the family's 2925-position model. Lineage: Bacteria; Bacillati; Bacillota; Bacilli; Caryophanales; Listeriaceae. The record is from RNAcentral.